UCCUACGGGACGCAGCAGUGAGGAAUAUUGGUCAAUGGUCGGGAGACUGAACCAGCCAAGCCGCGUGAGGGAUGAAGGUACAGAGUAUCGUAAACCUCUUUUGUCAGGGAACAAAGGCGGGGACGCGUCCCCGGAUGAGUGUACCUGAAGAAAAAGCAUCGGCUAACUCCGUGCCAGCAGCCGCGGUAAUACGGAGGAUGCGAGCGUUAUCCGGAUUUAUUGGGUUUAAAGGGUGCGCAGGCGGUCUGUUAAGUCAGCGGUCAAAGCCCGGGGCUCAACCCCAGCCCGCCGUUGCAACUGGCAGG
RNAcentral lists this ribosomal RNA (305 nucleotides) under uncultured bacterium. Its description in RNAcentral is "bacterial SSU rRNA". It matches the Rfam family "Bacterial small subunit ribosomal RNA", at positions 337 to 640 of the family's 1533-position model. The record is from RNAcentral.